UGUAGCGGUGGAAUGCGUAGAUAUAUGGAAGAACACCAGUGGCGAAGGCGGCUGUCUAGUCUGUAACUGACGCUGAGGCUCGAAAGCAUGGGUAGCGAACAGGAUUAGAUACCCUGGUAGUCCAUGCCGUAAACGAUGAGUGCUAAGUGUUGGAGGGUUUCCCCCUUCAGUGCUGCAGCUAACGCAUUAAGCACUCCGCCUGGGGAGUACGACCGCAAGGUUGAAACUCAAAGGAAUUGACGGGGGCCCGCACAAGCGGUGGAGCAUGUGGUUUAAUUCGAAGCUACGCGAAGAACCUUACCAGGUCUUGACAUCUUCUGCCAAUCUUAGAGAUAAGACGUUCCCUUCGGGGACAGAAUGACAGGUGGUGCAUGGUUGUCGUCAGCUCGUGUCGUGAGAUGUUGGGUUAAGUCCCGCAACGAGCGCAACCCUUAUUAUCAGUUGCCAGCAUUCAGUUGGGCACUCUGGUGAGACUGCCGGUGACAAACCGGAGGAAGGUGGGGAUGACGUCAAAUCAUCAUGCCCCUUAUGACCUGGGCUACACACGUGCUACAAUGGACGGUACAACGAGUCGCGAAGUCGUGAGGCUAAGCUAAUCUCUUAAAGCCGUUCUCAGUUCGGAUUGUAGGCUGCAACUCGCCUACAUGAAGUUGGAAUCGCUAGUAAUCGCGGAUCAGCAUGCCGCGGUGAAUACGUUCCCGGGCCUUGUACACACCGCCCGUCACACCAUGAGAGUUUGUAACACCCAAAGCCGGUGAGAUAACCUUCGGGAGUCAGCCGUCUAAGGUGGGACAGAUGAUUAGGGUGAAGUCGUAACAAGGUAACCAGGGCG
Molecule: ribosomal RNA, 832 nt
Filed under: uncultured Lactobacillus sp.
Lineage: Bacteria; Bacillati; Bacillota; Bacilli; Lactobacillales; Lactobacillaceae
Description: bacterial SSU rRNA
Rfam family: Bacterial small subunit ribosomal RNA
Source: RNAcentral